UAGAGUGUAUUUGACAGCAAGUA
RNAcentral lists this non-coding RNA (23 nucleotides) under Arabidopsis thaliana (thale cress). Lineage: Eukaryota; Viridiplantae; Streptophyta; Magnoliopsida; Brassicales; Brassicaceae. The record is from RNAcentral.